Rosa rugosa (rugosa rose) is the source of this 1279-nucleotide long non-coding RNA. RefSeq lists it as uncharacterized. The transcript is spliced from 5 exons. The record is from RefSeq and is a predicted model, not a curated record. NCBI's taxonomy places the organism in Eukaryota, Viridiplantae, Streptophyta, Magnoliopsida, Rosales, Rosaceae.
CUCAAAUUUUGGCCAGAAGUCAAAACUCCUCAGACUCCCUCCCUCCCGCUCCCUCUUUCCCACACAAAUUUGGGAAAACCUAGAAACUGAAAACCUCUCUCUCUCAGACACUCAAUCUCCCUGACAGUCGAUGGCAGCGGCACGAUGGGCGGCGUCACUCAAUCUCCUUGACGGUGGACGUUGAGUUCUCCUUGUAAGUCAUUCUCUCUCUCUCUCUCUCUCAUUCAAAAAUUCGAUCUGUUCCUCUCUCAGAUUCGAUCUGGAUGGUUGAGAAUUGAGAUGGUGGUAUGGGGCGAUGGUUUUGUGGGGGGAGAUUUUGGGGAGUUUUCUCACUUUCUGGGUUUUUCUUUUCUGAUUUACUCUAGAGUCUGGAGGGAGUUAGUAUUGGUCGGAACUAAUUAUUAUUCGUUGUUGCAAUUUUAAUCUGAGCCUGUCGAAGUUUAAAGACAUAAACAGACAAAGCAGUUGAGAUUAGAAUAUGGGUUCUAGCUUCUUGCAAACUCAAACUCAGUUCUAGGCCGAGCUGUGGGAGGGUUAUUGUGUUCUUACUGGAAAACCAGGGCUAUGUAUCCUCCAGGUGGAGUUUAUGCUCAUCCGGGUAUGGUCAUGAUAUGAUGUUCUUCCUCCGAUGGAGUUUCUGAAAGGCUCCCCUCAUGGUUUUAGAUAGCCCGAUUAAUGGAAGUUGCGAUGUGUGUAUAUGAAGACCGAGGAUGGUAAACUUAUUGAGAUUAAACCAUAUGUUCGUAUCCCAAGGUGUCAUGUUGCAGCUGCUACGGAAACUAAGUAUAGCUGAGCAAAAAAUCUAGGGAUUGAAAUUAAAAGCAGAAGAUGAGUACAUAUUAAAGGAGUUGACUAUUGUUAGAUAGAGUUUUCUUGUUGGAGAGCUGUUAUUGUUGGCUGUGCUGCUAUUGCUGGAGUUGUAAGGAGCUAGCUUGACUGUGGGAGAGGAGAGGCAACAGUCAAUAUACCCAAGCAGACAUAGAUAUGAUGCGAAAUGAAUGGGAAAGUAUGUCGUGAAGGCGUAUGUGUAGGAGCUAAAGGAAAGCAUAAGAGGAAGUAGGUUGUUGCUGAAGGAAAGCAUCAUUUUUGUGCUUCUCUGUUGGUACAAUAUUCAUGCACUGUGUGGCAUGUUUUGUAACAAAUAGUUUGUAUUUGUAUCAACUUUUGAUGUCCCAAGUAGAUAGGCAUGCAGUUGAAUGCUUUUCUUCUUUCAAUGUUGGCUUGGAUGAUUGGGAAAUCCUCCCUUUCAACAUUUGAAUGCUUUUCUUCAAAUAAUAUG